RNAcentral lists this unclassified non-coding RNA (275 nucleotides) under Hevea brasiliensis (rubber tree). The record is from RNAcentral. Lineage: Eukaryota; Viridiplantae; Streptophyta; Magnoliopsida; Malpighiales; Euphorbiaceae.
UGGUAAGGUUUUUUUGAUACAAAAGACUGGAAUUGAUUUCAUAUUUAUAAUAAAUAUCCAUUAAACUAGUAUUGCAUCUUUGCCAAUCCUUUACGGUCCCCUCUCGAACACGGAGAGCAGCUUGUACUUCUUUGACAUCAGCCCAAAUAUACGAGAGCACGUAGUUGUCAGCCCGACACCAUGGUUCUGAAAAUUGCUUAGUUGAAACUGGGACAUCAAUGAAAUUCUUUUCCAGAAGAGAGCUUGCAAUUUUCCAUGUUGAUAUGUUUUGUUGU